Molecule: ribosomal RNA, 855 nt
Filed under: uncultured bacterium
Lineage: Bacteria
Description: bacterial SSU rRNA
Rfam family: Bacterial small subunit ribosomal RNA
Source: RNAcentral
AGUCGAGGGGCAGCGAGAUUGAAGCUUGCUUCAAUUGUCGGCGACCGGCGGACGGGUGCGUAACGCGUAUGCAACCUACCCAUAACAGGGGGAUAACACUGAGAAAUUGGUACUAAUACCCCAUAACAUCUCGAGUGGCAUCACUUGGGGUUGAAAGCUUCGGUGGUUAUGGAUGGGCAUGCGUUGUAUUAGCUAGUUGGUGAGGUAACGGCCCACCAAGGCGACGAUACAUAGGGGGACUGAGAGGUUAACCCCCCACAUUGGUACUGAGACACGGACCAAACUCCUACGGGAGGCAGCAGUGAGGAAUAUUGGUCAAUGGACGGAAGUCUGAACCAGCCAUGCCGCGUGCAGGAUGACGGCUCUAUGAGUUGUAAACUGCUUUUGUACGAGGGUAAACCCGAAUACGUGUAUUCGGCUGAAAGUAUCGUACGAAUAAGGAUCGGCUAACUCCGUGCCAGCAGCCGCGGUAAUACGGAGGAUCCAAGCGUUAUCCGGAUUUAUUGGGUUUAAAGGGUGCGUAGGCGGUCAGAUAAGUUAGAGGUGAAAUUCCGGUGCUUAACACCGGCGCUGCCUCUAAUACUGUUUGACUAGAGAGUAGUUGCGGUAGGCGGAAUGUAUGGUGUAGCGGUGAAAUGCUUAGAGAUCAUACAGAACACCGAUUGCGAAGGCAGCUUACCAAGCUAUAUCUGACGUUGAGGCACGGAAGCGUGGGGAGCAAACAGGAUUAGAUACCCUGGUAGUCCACGCAGUAAACGAUGAUAACUCGUUGUCGGCGAUACAAUGUCGGUGACUAAGCGAAAGCGAUAAGUUAUCCACCUGGGGAGUACGUUCGCAAGAAUGAAACUCAAAGGA